UUUUAUGAGAGUUUGAUCCUGGCUCAGGACGAACGCUGGCGGCGUGCCUAAUACAUGCAAGUCGAACGCUUCUUUUUCCAACGGAGCUUGCUCCACCGGAAAAAGAAGAGUGGCGAACGGGUGAGUAACACGUGGGUAACCUGCCCAUCAGAAGGGGAUAACACUUGGAAACAGGUGCUAAUACCGUAUAACAAUCAAAACCGCAUGGUUUUGAUUUGAAAGGCGCUUUCGGGUGUCGCUGAUGGAUGGACCCGCGGUGCAUUAGCUAGUUGGUGAGGUAACGGCUCACCAAGGCCACGAUGCAUAGCCGACCUGAGAGGGUGAUCG
Molecule: ribosomal RNA, 327 nt
Filed under: Enterococcus faecium
Lineage: Bacteria; Bacillati; Bacillota; Bacilli; Lactobacillales; Enterococcaceae
Description: bacterial SSU rRNA
Rfam family: Bacterial small subunit ribosomal RNA
Source: RNAcentral